GUCUAUGGCCAUGCUACCUUGAACAAGCCCAAUCCCCUCUCAUGUCGGAAGCUAAACCGGUUCGGGCCUGGUUAGUACUUGGAUGAGAGACCACUUAGGAAGACCAGGUGCUGUAGGUG
Molecule: ribosomal RNA, 119 nt
Filed under: Pteropus alecto (black flying fox)
Lineage: Eukaryota; Metazoa; Chordata; Mammalia; Chiroptera; Pteropodidae
Source: RNAcentral